This 1557-nucleotide ribosomal RNA is filed under the name Dolosigranulum pigrum. Its description in RNAcentral is "bacterial SSU rRNA". It matches the Rfam family "Bacterial small subunit ribosomal RNA". The record is from RNAcentral. Lineage: Bacteria; Bacillati; Bacillota; Bacilli; Lactobacillales; Carnobacteriaceae.
UUUAAACAUGAGAGUUUGAUCUUGGCUCAGGACGAACGCUGGCGGCAUGCCUAAUACAUGCAAGUCGAACGAUGAUAUCACUGCUUGCAGUGAUUGAUUAGUGGCGAACGGGUGAGUAACACGUGAGGAACUUGCCCAUGAGCGGGGGACAACAUUCGGAAACGGAUGCUAAUACCCCAUAGGUGGAUUGGUCGCAUGACGAAUUCAUUAAAGGUGGCUUCGCUACUACUCAUGGAUAGCCUCGCGGCGUAUUAGCUAGUUGGUAAGGUAAUGGCUUACCAAGGCAGUGAUACGUAGCCGACUUGAGAGGGUGAUCGGCCACACUGGGACUGAGACACGGCCCAGACUCCUACGGGAGGCAGCAGUAGGGAAUCUUCCACAAUGGGUGCAAACCUGAUGGAGCAAUGCCGCGUGAGUGAAGAAGGUCUUCGGAUCGUAAAGCUCUGUUGUUAGAGAAGAACACGUGCUAGGUAACUACUAGCGCCUUGACGGUAUCUAACCAGAAAGUCACGGCUAACUACGUGCCAGCAGCCGCGGUAAUACGUAGGUGACAAGCGUUGUCCGGAUUUAUUGGGCGUAAAGGGAGCGCAGGCGGUCUGUUUAGUCUAAUGUGAAAGCCCACGGCUUAACCGUGGAACGGCAUUGGAAACUGACAGACUUGAAUGUAGAAGAGGAAAAUGGAAUUCCAAGUGUAGCGGUGGAAUGCGUAGAUAUUUGGAGGAACACCAGUGGCGAAGGCGAUUUUCUGGUCUAACAUUGACGCUGAGGCUCGAAAGCGUGGGGAGCGAACAGGAUUAGAUACCCUGGUAGUCCACGCCGUAAACGAUGAGUGCUAAGUGUUGGGGGCUUUCCGGCCCUCGGUGCUGGAGCUAACGUAUUAAGCACUCCGCCUGGGGAUUACGACCGCAAGGUUGAAACUCAAAAGAAUUGACGGGGACCCGCACAAGCGGUGGAGCAUGUGGUUUAAUUCGAAGCAACGCGAAGAACCUUACCAGCUCUUGACAUCUUCUGACAACUCUAGAGAUAGAGCGUUCCCUUCGGGGACAGAAUGACAGGUGGUGCAUGGUUGUCGUCAGCUCGUGUCGUGAGAUGUUGGGUUAAGUCCCGUAACGAGCGCAACCCUUGUUGUUAGUUGCCAGCAUUAAGUUGGGCACUUUAACGAGACUGCCGGUGAUAAACCGGAGGAAGGCGGGGAUGACGUCAAAUCAUCAUGCCCCUUAUAAGCUGGGCUACACACGUGCUACAAUGGAUGGUACAACGAGCAGCGAUCCCGCAAGGGCUAGCUAAUCUUUCAAAGCCAUUCUCAGUUCGGAUUGCACUCUGCAACUCGAGUGCAUGAAGUCGGAAUCGCUAGUAAUCGCGAAUCAGAAUGUCGCGGUGAAUCCGUUCCCGGGUCUUGUACACACCGCCCGUCACACCACGAGAGUUUGAAACACCCGAAGUCGGCCGGCCAACCCUAUGGGAGGCAGCCGUCGAAGGUGGGUUGAAUGAUUGGGGUGAAGUCGUAACAAGGUAGCCGUAUCGGAAGGUGCGGCUGGAUCACCUCCUUUCUAAGGA